CCUACGGGAGGCAGCAGUCGAGAAUCUUUCACAAUGGGGGAAAGCCUGAUGGUGCGACGCCGCGUGGGGGAAUGAAGGUCUUCGGAUUGUAAACCCCUGUCAUGUGGGAGCAAAUUAAAAAGAUAGUACCACAAGAGGAAGAGACGGAUAACUCUGUGCCAGCAGCCGCGGUAAUGCAGGGGUCUCAAGCGUUGUUCGGAAUCACUGGGCAUAAAGCGUGCGUAGGCGGUUUCUUAAGACGUGUGUGAAAGGCGCGGGCUCAACCGUCAGACGGCACAUGAUACUGCGAGACUAGAGUAAUGUAGGGGGAACCGGAAUUCUCGGUGUAGCAGUGAAAUGCGUAGAUAUCGGGAGGAACACUCGUGGCGAAGGCGGGUUCCUGGACAUUAACUGACGCUGAGGCACGAAGGCCAGGGGAGCGAAAGGGAUUAGAUACCCUAGUAGUC
Molecule: ribosomal RNA, 446 nt
Filed under: uncultured bacterium
Lineage: Bacteria
Description: partial 16S ribosomal RNA
Rfam family: Bacterial small subunit ribosomal RNA
Source: RNAcentral